This 455-nucleotide ribosomal RNA is filed under the name Stenotrophomonas sp. 8-CSUMB. RNAcentral's name for it is "bacterial SSU rRNA". It matches the Rfam family "Bacterial small subunit ribosomal RNA", at positions 77 to 529 of the family's 1533-position model. Lineage: Bacteria; Pseudomonadati; Pseudomonadota; Gammaproteobacteria; Lysobacterales; Lysobacteraceae. The record is from RNAcentral.
UGCUCUUAUGGGUGGCGAGUGGCGGACGGGUGAGGAAUACAUCGGAAUCUACCUUUUCGUGGGGGAUAACGUAGGGAAACUUACGCUAAUACCGCAUACGACCUUCGGGUGAAAGCAGGGGACCUUCGGGCCUUGCGCGGAUAGAUGAGCCGAUGUCGGAUUAGCUAGUUGGCGGGGUAAAGGCCCACCAAGGCGACGAUCCGUAGCUGGUCUGAGAGGAUGAUCAGCCACACUGGAACUGAGACACGGUCCAGACUCCUACGGGAGGCAGCAGUGGGGAAUAUUGGACAAUGGGCGCAAGCCUGAUCCAGCCAUACCGCGUGGGUGAAGAAGGCCUUCGGGUUGUAAAGCCCUUUUGUUGGGAAAGAAAAGCAGUCGAUUAAUACUCGGUUGUUCUGACGGUACCCAAAGAAUAAGCACCGGCUAACUUCGUGCCAGCCGCCGCGGGUAAUAAA